AAAUUGAAGAGUUUGAUCAUGGCUCAGAUUGAAUGCUGGCGGCAGGCCUAACACAUGCAAGUCGAACGGUAACAGGAAACAGCUUGCUGUUUCGCUGACGAGUGGCGGACGGGUGAGUAAUGUCUGGGAAACUGCCUGAUGGAGGGGGAUAACUACUGGAA
RNAcentral lists this ribosomal RNA (161 nucleotides) under Escherichia coli. Its description in RNAcentral is "partial 16S ribosomal RNA". It matches the Rfam family "Bacterial small subunit ribosomal RNA", at positions 1 to 155 of the family's 1533-position model. The record is from RNAcentral. Lineage: Bacteria; Pseudomonadati; Pseudomonadota; Gammaproteobacteria; Enterobacterales; Enterobacteriaceae.